RNAcentral lists this non-coding RNA (661 nucleotides) under Pongo abelii (Sumatran orangutan). Lineage: Eukaryota; Metazoa; Chordata; Mammalia; Primates; Hominidae. The record is from RNAcentral.
AGCUUUCCUCCUUCGUCGGAGCAUACACGGCGGUGUCGGCUGGCAGGCUGGGGCAUGGGAGCAGCUGCAGGCAUGGUUGGCUUCAGGCGUGUUUUCCCUGCAAGCCAUUGGCCUCUGGGAAUUGGCCGUUUUACGGAGACAAGGACGUGCUGAGGGGAUCGCCUCACCCAUCUCCCACUGGCUGUGUCCCCAAAGUCCUGCCUUCCCGUAGCUUGGCAUGGAGCACCUCUGCGCGACCAUGGGCCUGCUCACACAGCCCUUCUGCACACCGUGGGAGCUGCCUCUCUGUGACCCGCCCCUGGACCCACUGCCCCAGCGCCUGACCCACCUCCCUGCUGCCUUUCACAGAAAACUUCUCACAGACUCCCAUUUUCUCAUCCCGCCCUGAUUUAGCCCGACUUCCCCCGGAAACUGCCCUUACCCGUCCCCACCUUGCCAGACACGGUGGGCUACUGGAGUUCCUCUGUCUUCUGGGACUUUGCUCUCCCCAGGGGAUCCUCUGACACUCCUCCACCCAACUCCUUAAUCUUGGAGUGCCAGAGCUCAGCCGAGCUCACCGGCUCCCUAGGGAGCCGGGGCAACUGUUAGCUUCCCCUGACCGCUGCUCCUAUGUCCAGUGAAUGCUGGCCCCGCAAACUUAAUGUGUUCAUUGUGGAACUUU